Molecule: transfer RNA, 73 nt
Filed under: Camelus bactrianus (Bactrian camel)
Lineage: Eukaryota; Metazoa; Chordata; Mammalia; Artiodactyla; Camelidae
Also listed under: 2 other names
Rfam family: tRNA
About the family: Transfer RNA (tRNA) molecules are approximately 80 nucleotides in length. Their secondary structure includes four short double-helical elements and three loops (D, anti-codon, and T loops). Further hydrogen bonds mediate the characteristic L-shaped molecular structure. tRNAs have two regions of fundamental functional importance: the anti-codon, which is responsible for specific mRNA codon recognition, and the 3' end, to which the tRNAs corresponding amino acid is attached (by aminoacyl-tRNA synthetases). tRNAs cope with the degeneracy of the genetic code in two manners: having more than one tRNA (with a specific anti-codon) for a particular amino acid; and 'wobble' base-pairing, i.e. permitting non-standard base-pairing at the 3rd anti-codon position.
Source: Rfam by way of RNAcentral
GAGGGAGUAGCUCAAGUGGUAGAGCUCAUGCUUAGCAUGCAUGAGGUCCUGGGUUCAAUCACCAGUACCUCCA